This 450-nucleotide ribosomal RNA is filed under the name uncultured bacterium. RNAcentral describes it as "partial 16S ribosomal RNA". It matches the Rfam family "Bacterial small subunit ribosomal RNA", at positions 354 to 796 of the family's 1533-position model. The record is from RNAcentral.
GUGGGGAAUUUUGGACAAUGGGCGCAAGCCUGAUCCAGCAAUGCCGCGUGCAGGAAGAAGGCCUUCGGGUUGUAAAGCACUUUUGGCAGGAAAGAAAUAGUGCGUGCUAAUACCAUGCGCGAAUGACGGUACCUGCAGAAUAAGCACCGGCUAACUACGUGCCAGCAGCCGCGGUAAGACGUAGGGUGCAAGCGUUAAUCGGAAUUACUGGGCGUAAAGCGUGCGCAGGCGGUUUUGUAAGACAGGUGUGAAAUCCCCGGGCUCAACCUGGGAACUGCACUUGUGACUGCAAGGCUAGAGUGUGUCAGAGGGAGGUGGAAUUCCGCGUGUAGCAGUGAAAUGCGUAGAGAUGCGGAGGAACACCGAUGGCGAAGGCAGCCUCCUGGGAUAACACUGACGCUCAGGCACGAAAGCGUGGGGAGCAAACAGGAUUAGAAACCCCUGUAGUCC